Molecule: unclassified non-coding RNA, 326 nt
Filed under: uncultured bacterium
Lineage: Bacteria
Description: contains 16S-23S intergenic spacer region
Source: RNAcentral
GGGAGUUCACCGUGGACGCCGGCGCCGCGGCCCAGUGCCGUGUCGACGACGGCCCGUGGGCUCCAUGCGGCGGCGUCCUGACCGCCGACCUCGUGGAUGCGCUGGAUGGCACGCACGCCCUCGAGGUCCGGGCCGUCGAUGACGUCGGCAACGUCGGACCCGUGGCGCUGGCCGCCUAUGACCUCGACCGGGUGUCACCCGGACAGGUCACCUUCACAGCCGAGCCCCUGUCACCCGGGAACGAUGUCGACCCCACAUGGACGUUCACCUACGAGCCAGGCACCACGGCCUGGUGCACCCUCGACGGAGCGGCGGCCGAGGCGUGC